UAGGGAAUCUUCCACAAUGGACGCAAGUCUGAUGGAGCAACGGCCGCGUGAGUGAAGAAGGUUUUCGGACCGUAAAGCUCUGUUGUUGGUGAAGAAGGAUAGAGGUAGUAACUGGCCUUUAUUUGACGGUAAUCAACCAGAAAGUCACGGCUAACUACGUGCCAGCAGCCGCGGUAAUCGUAGGUGGCAAGCGUUGUCCGGAUUUAUUGGGCGUAAAGCGAGCGCAGGCGGAAGAAUAAGUCUGAUGUGAAAGCCCUCGGCUUAACCGAGGAAUUGCAUCGGAAACUGUUUUUCUUGAGUGCAGAAGAGGAGAGUAGAACUCCAUGUGUAGCGGUGGAAUGCGUAGAUAUAUGGAAGAAUACCAGUGGCGAAGGCGGCUCUCUGGUCUGCAACUGACGCUGAGGCUCGAAAGCAUGGGUAGCGAACAGGAUUAGAUACCCUGGUAGUCCAUGCCG
This 455-nucleotide ribosomal RNA is filed under the name uncultured bacterium. RNAcentral's name for it is "partial 16S ribosomal RNA". It matches the Rfam family "Bacterial small subunit ribosomal RNA", at positions 355 to 802 of the family's 1533-position model. The record is from RNAcentral.